Molecule: ribosomal RNA, 329 nt
Filed under: uncultured eukaryote
Lineage: Eukaryota
Description: partial 18S ribosomal RNA
Rfam family: Eukaryotic small subunit ribosomal RNA
Source: RNAcentral
CCCUUAGAUGUUCUGGGCCGCACGCGCGCUACACUGAUGCAUUCAACGAGUCUAAAACCUGCUCUGAUAGGGGUGGGUAAUCUUUUGAAUGUGCAUCGUGAUUGGGAUAGAUGAUUGCAAUUUUUCAUCUUCAACGAGGAAUGCCUAGUAAACGCAAGUCAUCAGCUUGCAUUGAUUACGUCCCUGCCCUUUGUACACACCGCCCGUCGCACCUACCGAUUGAAUGGUCCGGUGAAAUCUUCGGAUUGAGACUUUGAUUUCUUCACGGAAAACGCUGUUUUAAAAAGUUGAUUAAACCUUACCAUUUAGAGGAAGGUGAAGUCGUAACA